GUAAGGAAUAUUGGACAAUGGCCGCAAGGCUGAUCCAGCCAUGCCGCGUGCAGGAUGAAGGUGCUAUGCAUUGUAAACUGCUUUUGUUCGGGAAUAAACCCCUCUACGUGUAGAGGGUUGAAUGUACCGAAAGAAUAAGGGUCGGCUAACUUCGUGCCAGCAGCCGCGGUAAUACGAAGGACCCAAGCGUUAUCCGGAUUUAUUGGGUUUAAAGGGUGCGUAGGCGGGUUUUUAAGUCAGUGGUGAAAUCCUACAGCUUAACUGUAGAACUGCCAUUGAUACUGAGAAUCUUGAGUAUGGUUGAGGUGGGCGGAAUGUAUCAUGUAGCGGUGAAAUGCUUAGAUAUGAUACAGAACACCGAUUGCGAAGGCAGCUCACUAAGCCAUAACUGACGCUGAGGCACGAAAGCGUGGGGAGCAAACAGGAUUAGAAACCCCGGUAGUCC
This 445-nucleotide ribosomal RNA is filed under the name uncultured bacterium. RNAcentral describes it as "bacterial SSU rRNA". It matches the Rfam family "Bacterial small subunit ribosomal RNA", at positions 354 to 796 of the family's 1533-position model. The record is from RNAcentral.